GACUGCUCAGUUAAAUUUGCAUUUCAGAUCCACAACAAAUAUUUUUUAGCAUAAAUAUGGGACAUACAAUAUUUGGGACACACUUAUACUAAAAAAGCUUCAUUAUUUAUGUGAAAUGCAAUUUUAACUGGGC
This 133-nucleotide microRNA precursor is filed under the name Chlorocebus sabaeus (green monkey). RNAcentral describes it as "miRNA (ENSCSAG00000021924.1)". Lineage: Eukaryota; Metazoa; Chordata; Mammalia; Primates; Cercopithecidae. The record is from RNAcentral.